RNAcentral lists this ribosomal RNA (253 nucleotides) under uncultured bacterium. Its description in RNAcentral is "partial 16S ribosomal RNA". It matches the Rfam family "Bacterial small subunit ribosomal RNA", at positions 524 to 776 of the family's 1533-position model. The record is from RNAcentral.
UACGUAGGUGGCAAGCGUUGUCCGGAGUUACUGGGCGUAAAGGGCACGCAGGCGGUGCGGCGCGUUUCGCGUGACAGCGGAGGGCUUAACUCUCCGAGGAUGCGAAAGACGGCGGCACUUGAGGGCCAGAGAGGGACACGGAAUUCCGGGUGGAGUGGUGAAAUGCGUAGAGAUCCGGAGGAACACCGAAGGCGAAGGCAGUGUCCUGGCUGGUGACUGACGCUGAGGUGCGAAAGCUAGGGGAGCGAACGGG